RNAcentral lists this long non-coding RNA (1002 nucleotides) under Equus caballus (horse). Its description in RNAcentral is "lncRNA (ENSECAG00000047055.1)". The record is from RNAcentral. Lineage: Eukaryota; Metazoa; Chordata; Mammalia; Perissodactyla; Equidae.
AGUCAGAAUAAGGAGCUGGGGGCCAGUCUGGUGGCACAGCGGUUAAGUUCGCACGUUCCGCUUCAGCGGCCUGGGGUUCGCAGGUUCGGAUCCCUAUUGCGGACAUUGGCAAAAGCCAUGCUGUGAUGGAGAAAUUCAGCCACGGGAAAAAACCCUGCCUAACAUCAUACACCUGGUGACACAGCACAGAUUCAAGCUAACAGAGAAUCAGACUGGACAGCCAUCCUUCUCACAUUUACCAUUGCAAAACUGUAACUAUCAAUCAUAACUUGCCUUGAAAACCACUAGGCUGCAGUCACAGUGAAGACCAGCAAAGUGGCAGCCAACACAGUGGCAGAACAGUGUUGGAGCUCUUCCAAAGCUCCAUUUCCAGAGAACUGUCAGCAUUUGACCUGUCUGGUGAUCCCCUAGAAGACCUCACUUGCAAAACCGUUUUUAUUUGACCUCACUCGGAGCUCAUCCAAUAUGAAAAGCCUUUCUCCUGGGGAUUUCUUAUCCCAUUUGCCUUUGAGAAGAAAAACAAAAAUCUCUUAACCAAAGCUUAAAAUUUCAUCCGAAAACGGGAAGGAGAGAAAAUAUUUUAUUUCGAUUCUUUGUGUGAAACUAACAGUUUCCGUGUCAUGAGAAGGCUGCCAAUUCUCCAGUACGUAAAGAUGCCCUAUACUAUGAAGGGUUGCCAUUUAAAGAACAACCAGGAAGCAAUUCAAUGAACAGGAAUUGUUAAGGAUAGGCUUCUUGCUGCAUUCCAAUCGUGUUCUUUUCAAAACCUGGCUUUAUGGAUUUUAAAGAAAUCCUGAGGGGGCACUCUUUUCCUUUUGUCCCGCUGAAAUAUCAUCAUUAAACUCCUCUAAAAAUGGUUUCUGAUAUGAUUCUGCUUUCCAGCUGAGGCAACAUUUUCUAUAAGUAAUAACAAAACAGCUGAACUGAGUAAAAGCAAACUGGGCAGAGAGGAAUAUCAAUCCUGAUGGGACCAAAGGGAGACCUCUGUUAACUUCUGAAGUA